This 354-nucleotide ribosomal RNA is filed under the name uncultured bacterium. RNAcentral's name for it is "partial 16S ribosomal RNA". It matches the Rfam family "Bacterial small subunit ribosomal RNA", at positions 338 to 709 of the family's 1533-position model. The record is from RNAcentral.
CCUACGGGAGGCAGCAGUGGGGAAUAUUGGACAAUGGGGGGAACCCUGAUCCAGCGACGCCGCGUGAGUGAAGAAGUAUUUCGGUAUGUAAAGCUCUAUCAGCAGGGAAGAAAAUGACGGUACCUGACUAAGAAGCCCCGGCUAACUACGUGCCAGCAGCCGCGGUAAUACGUAGGGGGCAAGCGUUAUCCGGAUUUACUGGGGGUAAAAGGAGCGUAGACGGUGCAGCAAGUCUGAUGUGAAAGGUCGGGGCCCAACCCCGGGACGGAAUUGGAAACGGUUGGACUGGAGUAAAGGAGUGGGAAGCGGAAUGCGGGGUGCAGCGGUGAAAGGCGUAGAUAUUAGGAGGAACAC